ACGGACGGUGUUAGUGGAAGGACAGGAAGUUCCGGGCAGACGCGCACCAUUCUUCAUUAUAAAGAAAGCGCCAGAACGGUGCAGUCAAGAAGAUAACCUUCGUGUCCGUUUCUAUUCAUUACUACAGGUAUGUAAUAGCACGUUUAAACUUUCUAAAGAAUAUAUGUACUUGAGAUUUCUGAAUUCGUUCACGAGCUCGUAAAAUGGCGGCGCCACUCGGUCUGCGUCAAUUUCUUUUAUUGCAACAAUAAUAACAAAAUUACACAUCAAUACAGGGACAUUCCUGUGAAUACAAUGAUAAAAAGUCCAGGCAGAGGGAGACAAUUUCACGGUUGCACUACUGUUUUGAAGCUGAAUGUAAUGAUUAUCAGUUUUCUACAUGUGUACUAAUAUUCACACACAUUACGUUGUUUCUAUCUUUAUCUAUAAAUGUUACUAUGGUGUGAACAGAUAUACUAUUGGUUUUGAUUGAAAUAAUACACCGAAGACGAGGUUAUUAAGGAAAAUAGUACAUAGUGCUGCCUACAACAUACUGCAACCUUGUACUAAAUGUUUUUUGAGUCAUUUAUGUGAAUUCAGGAAAUCUACUAUAGAUUAAGUGCACUUAAAUUGUGUAGCCUGAUUUAAAGUGUAUACUUUGUCUAAUGUGAAUUAAUUCAUGUUUUGUUGUCAAUGUUUAGCUACCAGAUCUAUUGAAAUGAGAUCAGUGCUUGACUUGGACAGGAGCUCACCGGAGCUGAGUACCGGCACCUCAAAUGUCUACUGUUUGAGCUCAUGUUCCUCUUAUAGAAUAUUAGCUCAACAGUAUUGUGGUGCUCCUGCACCUAAAUUGAAACAAUAUUUUUAGAGAAUAAAGAAAGUGCCAGAACUGUCAAGACUAACUUUUGUAUCCGUUUCUCUUUAUUACUUCAGGCCAACUCAGAUUAAGUCUGAGGGCGGAAACAUCAACAGUGAGGACAAACCCAGCCUGCCUCUCUCCUUCCACACGGAGUCCAAGCAUACAGUCACUGGGUCCUGAUUGUGACCGCGAGGCCCAGUUUGCACCGCAGGAUCCAGAGAUGGCAUCAGUGAAGCUGGAAGACUGCAGUCAAACACUGGAGCUGAAUGUCAACAUUAAAGAUGAAGAAGAGGAGGAGAAGAUUGGGAAAUCUGUUUCUCAUGGAAUUUCACACAGCCUUUGAAGAGGAGUGGGACAACAUUCCAGAGGCCACAAUCAACAGCCUGAAUAACUCUAUGUAAAGGAGAUGUGUCCUGGAGGAGGCAGCGGCAGCUACCCACUUCUCCAGUGCUUCAUUUGUAAAUUGGGAGGUGAUGGAACCAGAAGUGAAUCCAAGAGGGUGGUGACCUGGGGGGCUCUGAGGUACCAGAACACAUGAAAUAAAAUACCUUUUUAAUAAAGCAUUGCAUGCAUUA
Molecule: long non-coding RNA, 1413 nt
Organism: Salvelinus namaycush (lake trout)
Lineage: Eukaryota; Metazoa; Chordata; Actinopteri; Salmoniformes; Salmonidae
Exons: 2
Source: RefSeq, a predicted model, not a curated record